This 249-nucleotide ribosomal RNA is filed under the name uncultured bacterium. RNAcentral's name for it is "partial 16S ribosomal RNA". It matches the Rfam family "Bacterial small subunit ribosomal RNA", at positions 523 to 769 of the family's 1533-position model. The record is from RNAcentral.
AUACGUAGGUGGCAAGCGUUGUCCGGUAUUUAGUUGGGCGUAAAGCGAGCGCAGGCGGUUUUUUAAGUCUGAUGUGAAAGCCUUCGGCUCAACCGAAGAAGUGCAUCGGAAACUGGGAAACUUGAGUGCAGAAGAGGACAGUGGAACUCCAUGUGUAGCGGUGAAAUGCGUAGAUAUAUGGAAGAACACCAGUGGCGAAGGCGGCUGCCUGGUCUGUAACUGACGCUGAGGCUCGAAAGUAUGGGUAGC